This 250-nucleotide ribosomal RNA is filed under the name uncultured bacterium. Its description in RNAcentral is "partial 16S ribosomal RNA". It matches the Rfam family "Bacterial small subunit ribosomal RNA", at positions 28 to 280 of the family's 1533-position model. The record is from RNAcentral.
GACGAACGCUGGCGGCGUGCUUAACACAUGCAAGUCGAACGGAAAGGCCCUGCUUGCAGGGUACUCGAGUGGCGAACGGGUGAGUAACACGUGGGUGAUCUGCCCUGCACUUCGGGAUAAGCUUGGGAAACUGGGUCUAAUACCGGAUAGGACCGCACUUUAGUGUGUGUGGUGGAAAGUUUUUUCGGUGUAGGAUGAGCUCGCGGCCUAUCAGCUUGUUGGUGGGGUAAUGGCCUACCAAGGCGGCGAC